UCGGGAAUUUUGCGCAAUGGGCGAAAGCCUGACGCAGCAACGCCGCGUGAGGGAUGAAGGCCUUGGGUUGUAAACCUCUUUUCUCAGGGACGAUGAUGACGGUACCUGAGGAAUAAGCCACGGCUAACUACGUGCCAGCAGCCGCGGUAAUACGUAGGUGGCAAGCGUUGUCCGGAUUUACUGGGCGUAAAGAGCGCGCAGGCGGUCAAUCAAGUCGAGUGUGAAAGCCCCCGGCUCAACUGGGGAGGGUCACUCGAUACUGCUUGACUCGAAGGCGGGAGAGGGAAGUGGAAUUCCCGGUGUAGUGGUGAAAUGCGUAGAUAUCGGGAGGAACACCAGUGGCGAAGGCGACUUCCUGGCCCCGUUCUUGACGCUGAGGCGCGAAAGCUAGGGGAGCAAACGGGAUUAGAUACCCCGGUAGUCCUAGCCGUAAACGAUGGACACUAGGUGUUGGUGGUAUCAACCCCGCCAGUGCCGUAGCUAACGCAUUAAGUGUCCCG
Molecule: ribosomal RNA, 500 nt
Filed under: uncultured Acidobacteriota bacterium
Lineage: Bacteria; Pseudomonadati; Acidobacteriota
Description: bacterial SSU rRNA
Rfam family: Bacterial small subunit ribosomal RNA
Source: RNAcentral